This 336-nucleotide long non-coding RNA is filed under the name Trifolium pratense (red clover). Its description in RNAcentral is "long non-coding RNA (TPRA_LNC004026)". The record is from RNAcentral. Lineage: Eukaryota; Viridiplantae; Streptophyta; Magnoliopsida; Fabales; Fabaceae.
CUUAUAUUAUGAAUGAAUGAAAUUCAAUUCACAUCGAUAUCGCAUCAAAGGCAUCAGAUGAUCAGACAACUUUUACAUUAUGAGUAAAGUGUUCAUAAUGUUUUUUUACGGUCAAUAAGGCUUCCAAAUACUAGCAACAGUUUAUAGAACAAAUAAUAUUCAUCGAUUCCUUUCGGGUCAUGAAGGCAGCAUAUAGUCUCAAAAUUUAGGCUCAUAUUUAUAUUCAUUGAUUCCUUUCAGGUCAUCGAUGCAUCCAAUCCAUCCCUUAUAUUAUGAAUGAAUCAAAUUCAAUUCAUAUCGAUAUCGCAUCAAAGGCAUCGGACAACUUUUACAUUC